GUGGGGAAUCUUGCGCAAUGGGCGAAAGCCUGACGCAGCCACGCCGCGUGGGUGAUGAAGGCCUUCGGGUCGUAAAGCCCUGUCGGGAGGGAAGAAAGCCUGCGCAAGCAGGAUUGACGGUACCUCGCAAGAAAGCGCCGGCUAACUCCGUGCCAGCAGCCGCGGUAAUACGGAGGGCGCAAGCGUUGCUCGGAAUUAUUGGGCGUAAAGCGCACGCAGGCGGUUGAUUAAGUCGGAUGUGAAAUCCCCGGGCUCAACCCUGGAAAUGCAUUCGAAACUGGUUGACUUGAGUACGGGAGAGGGAAGCGGAAUUCCUGGUGUAGAGGUGAAAUUCGUAGAUAUCAGGAGGAACACCGGUGGCGAAGGCGGCUUCCUGGCUCGAUACUGACGCUCAUGUGCGAAAGCGUGGGGAGCAAACAGGAUUAGAUACCCCAGUAGUCC
This 441-nucleotide ribosomal RNA is filed under the name uncultured bacterium. RNAcentral describes it as "bacterial SSU rRNA". It matches the Rfam family "Bacterial small subunit ribosomal RNA", at positions 354 to 796 of the family's 1533-position model. The record is from RNAcentral.